AGCGAACGCUGGCGGCAGGCUUAACACAUGCCAGUCGAGCGGGCACUUUCGGGUGUCAGCGGCGGACGGGUGAGUAACGCGUGGGAACGUGCCCUCUGGUUCGGAAUAACUCAGGGAAACUUGAGCUAAUACCGGAUACGCCCUUUUGGGGAAAGGCUUGCUGCCGGAGGAUCGGCCCGCGUCUGAUUAGCUAGUUGGUGAGGUAACGGCUCACCAAGGCGACGAUCAGUAGCUGGUCUGAGAGGAUGAUCAGCCACACUGGGACUGAGACACGGCCCAGACUCCGACGGGGGGCGGCGGGGGGGAAAUUGGGGAAAUGGGCGCAAGCCUGACCCAGCCUGCCCGGGGGAGUGAUGAAGGCCUUAGGUUUGUAAAGCUCUUUUAUCCGGGACGAUAAGGACGGUACCGGAGGAAAAAGCCCCGGCUAACUUCGG
Molecule: ribosomal RNA, 434 nt
Filed under: uncultured bacterium
Lineage: Bacteria
Description: partial 16S ribosomal RNA
Rfam family: Bacterial small subunit ribosomal RNA
Source: RNAcentral